GGCCUACCAUGGUGGUAACGGGUAACGGGGUGCUAGGGCACGACACCGGAGAGGGAGCCUGAGAAACGGCUACCACAUCCAAGGAUGGCAGCAGGCGCGCAAAUUACCCAAUCCCGACAAGGGGAGGUAGUGACAAUAAAUAACAAUACGGGGUUCUUUUGGAUCUCGUAAUUGGAAUGAGUACAAUUUAAAUCUCUUAACGAGGAACAAUUGGAGGGCAAGUCUGGUGCCAGCAGCCGCGGUAAUUCCAGCUCCAAUAGCGUAUAUUAAAGUUGUUGCAGUUAAAAAGCUCGUAGUUGAAUUUCGGGAUCAGUAGGUUGGUCGUGCCACUGGUAUGCACUGGCCUUACUGAUUCCUCCUUCUUGUAGAACCGUAAUGCCAUUAAGUUGGUGUUGCGGGGAAACAGGACUGUUACUUUGAAAAAAUUAGAGUGUUUAAGCAGGCUAACGCUUGAAUACAUUAGCAUGGAAUAAUGAAAUAGGACGUUCGAUCCUAUUUUGUUGGUUUCUAGGAUUGACGUAAUGAUUAAUAGGGAUAGUUGGGGGCAUUAGUAUUCAAUUGUCAGAGGUGAAAUUCUUGGAUUUAUUGAAGACUAACUACUGCGAAAGCAUUUGCCAAGGAUGUUUUCAUUAAUCAAGAACGAAAGUUAGGGGAUCGAAGACGAUCAGAUACCGUCGUAGUCUUAACCAUAAACUAUGCCGACUAGGGAUCGGAUGAUGUUAAUUUUUUAAUGACUCAUUCGGCGCCUUACGGGAAACCAAAGUGUUUGGGUUC
RNAcentral lists this ribosomal RNA (774 nucleotides) under uncultured Rhizophagus. RNAcentral describes it as "SSU rRNA". It matches the Rfam family "Eukaryotic small subunit ribosomal RNA", at positions 338 to 1114 of the family's 1831-position model. Lineage: Eukaryota; Fungi; Glomeromycota; Glomeromycetes; Glomerales; Glomeraceae. The record is from RNAcentral.